UGCCCUGUCUGUUCUGCCCACAG
Molecule: microRNA, 23 nt
Filed under: Mus musculus (house mouse)
Lineage: Eukaryota; Metazoa; Chordata; Mammalia; Rodentia; Muridae
Description: mmu-miR-1231-3p
Source: miRBase by way of RNAcentral